CUAAUACAUGCAAGUCGAGCGAACAGACAAGGAGCUUGCUCCUUUGACGUUAGCGGCGGACGGGUGAGUAACACGUGGGUAACCUACCUAUAAGACUGGGAUAACUUCGGGAAACCGGAGCUAAUACCGGAUAAUAUUUCGAACCGCAUGGUUCGAUAGUGAAAGAUGGUUUUGCUAUCACUUAUAGAUGGACCCGCGCCGUAUUAGCUAGUUGGUAAGGUAACGGCUUACCAAGGCGACGAUACGUAGCCGACCUGAGAGGGUGAUCGGCCACACUGGAACUGAGACACGGUCCAGACUCCUACGGGAGGCAGCAGUAGGGAAUCUUCCGCAAUGGGCGAAAGCCUGACGGAGCAACGCCGCGUGAGUGAUGAAGGUCUUCGGAUCGUAAAACUCUGUUAUUAGGGAAGAACAUACGUGUAAGUAACUAUGCACGUCUUGACGGUACCUAAUCAGAAAGCCACGGCUAACUACGUGCCAGCAGCCGCGGUAAUACGUAGGUGGCAAGCGUUAUCCGGAAUUAUUGGGCGUAAAGCGCGCGUAGGCGGUUUUUUAAGUCUGAUGUGAAAGCCCACGGCUCAACCGUGGAGGGUCAUUGGAAACUGUAAAACUUGAGUGCAGAAGAGGAAAGUGGAAUUCCAUGUGUAGCGGUGAAAUGCGCAGAGAUAUGGAGGAACACCAGUGGCGAAGGCGACUUUCUGGUCUGUAACUGACGCUGAUGUGCGAAAGCGUGGGGAUCAAACAGGAUUAGAUACCCUGGUAGUCCACGCCGUAAACGAUGAGUGCUAAGUGUUAGGGGGUUUCCGCCCCUUAGUGCUGCAGCUAACGCAUUAAGCACUCCGCCUGGGGAGUACGACCGCAAGGUUGAAACUCAAAGGAAUUGACGGGGACCCGCACAAGCGGUGGAGCAUGUGGUUUAAUUCGAAGCAACGCGAAGAACCUUACCAAAUCUUGACAUCCUUUGACAACUCUAGAGAUAGAGCCUUCCCCUUCGGGGGACAAAGUGACAGGUGGUGCAUGGUUGUCGUCAGCUCGUGUCGUGAGAUGUUGGGUUAAGUCCCGCAACGAGCGCAACCCUUAAGCUUAGUUGCCAUCAUUAAGUUGGGCACUCUAAGUUGACUGCCGGUGACAAACCGGAGGAAGGUGGGGAUGACGUCAAAUCAUCAUGCCCCUUAUGAUUUGGGCUACACACGUGCUACAAUGGACAAUACAAAGGGCAGCGAAACCGCGAGGUCAAGCAAAUCCCAUAAAGUUGUUCUCAGUUCGGAUUGUAGUCUGCAACUCGACUACAUGAAGCUGGAAUCGCUAGUAAUCGUAGAUCAGCAUGCUACGGUGAAUACGUUCCCGGGUCUUGUACACACCGCCCGUCACACCACGAGAGUUUGUAACACCCGAAGCCGGUGGAGUAACCAUUUGGAGCUAGCCGUCGAAGGUGGGACAAAUGAUUGGGGUGAAGUCGUAACAAGGUAGCCGUAUCGGAAGGUGCGGCUG
RNAcentral lists this ribosomal RNA (1491 nucleotides) under Staphylococcus haemolyticus. Its description in RNAcentral is "bacterial SSU rRNA". It matches the Rfam family "Bacterial small subunit ribosomal RNA". Lineage: Bacteria; Bacillati; Bacillota; Bacilli; Caryophanales; Staphylococcaceae. The record is from RNAcentral.